This 33-nucleotide non-coding RNA is filed under the name Alexandrium monilatum. The record is from RNAcentral. Lineage: Eukaryota; Dinophyceae; Gonyaulacales; Pyrocystaceae.
UCUGGCCUUCUGCAGCACCGCCGUGUAGACGUG